GAGAAGGCUGAGUGCCAUGAGAGCAAGCCCCGGGGCAUAAGCGCUUAACCUCUGACUGUAUCCCAGGUGCCUUAUUGGCCAGAGCAUGUCAUACAGCCAAGCUGCGCAUCAACACAGAAAGGGACCACACAAAGGCACGAUAGCAGGUGGAUUCGUGUUGAAUCACUGUUGGGAGACAGCUGGCCACAGACAUCUUACCUGCCCCUGAGGAUCCAGCUGUUUCCUGCAGCCUCCUGCUAAGAUGUGAGCUCUGAGCUGGAAGACCCAACUCCAAGAUUAGCCCAAUCUUCUGCCCUUGCCCUCCACUUCCUGGACUUCCCUGUAGAGCUGUGGAGGAUGUGAUUGCUUGGCCUUCUGCUCCUCCUGCCUCCCUACUCACACUUCUCUUUCCUGCAAGUGUUCGUAAAAAAAUAAGAUGACACGCAAGGGUCUAUAAAGCAAUACCCAGAGAUGAACGGACAGCCCAAAUGUGACCAAACCAAAGCCUGUGAGCUAGAGGGACAAUCUUCGGGAAGGAAAACAGAAGGAGACUGGGAAGGGAUGGGGCCGAGACGUGGAAAGAAUGCUGGGAAUGUCAACCAGCUAAACACACCUUAGACAUGUCACCACCACCCUCACAGUCCAUUCACUCUUGUGACAACUGAGGAAGCUUUGAGGUUUUCCCUGCCUUACCUCAGACCCUCCUCAGCCCCUGGCUGUACCUUCUUUCAUACAGAGCUCACUGCCAGGACUCAGCAAGUCAUAAAUAAUGGCAAAAUAAAGCUUAUUGGAUGGAG
Grammomys surdaster is the source of this 776-nucleotide long non-coding RNA. RefSeq lists it as uncharacterized. The transcript has 3 exons. The record is from RefSeq and is a predicted model, not a curated record. Lineage: Eukaryota; Metazoa; Chordata; Mammalia; Rodentia; Muridae.